RNAcentral lists this ribosomal RNA (422 nucleotides) under uncultured bacterium. RNAcentral describes it as "bacterial SSU rRNA". It matches the Rfam family "Bacterial small subunit ribosomal RNA", at positions 359 to 773 of the family's 1533-position model. The record is from RNAcentral.
GAAUAUUGGACAAUGGGGGCAACCCUGAUCCAGCCAUGCCGCGUGUGUGAAGAAGGCCUUUUGGUGGUAAAGCCCUUUAAGCAGUGAAGAAGACUCCAUGGUUAAUCCCCAGGGACGAGGACUUUAGCUGCAGAAUAGGCACCGGCUAACUCUGUGCAAGCAGCCGCGGUAAUACAGAGGGUGCAAGCGUUAAUCGGAAUUACUGGGCGUAAAGCGAGCGUAGGUGGCUUGAUAAGUCAGAUGUGAAAUCCCCGGGCUUAACCUGGGAACUGCAUCUGAUACUGUUAGGCUAGAAUAGGUGAGAGGAAGGUAGAAUUCCAGGUGUAGCGGUGAAAUGCGUAGAGAUCUGGAGGAAUACCGAUGGCGAAGGCAGCCUUCUGGCAUCAUAUUGACACUGAGGUUCGAAAGCGUGGGUAGCAAAC